Molecule: ribosomal RNA, 252 nt
Filed under: uncultured bacterium
Lineage: Bacteria
Description: partial 16S ribosomal RNA
Rfam family: Bacterial small subunit ribosomal RNA
Source: RNAcentral
UACGUAGGUCCCGAGCGUUGUCCGGAUUUAUUGGGCGUAAAGCGAGCGCAGGUGGUUUAUUAAGUCUGGUGUAAAAGGCAGUGGCUCAACCAUUGUAUGCAUUGGAAACUGGUAGACUUGAGUGCAGGAGAGGAGAGUGGAAUUCCAUGUGUAGCGGUGAAAUGCGUAGAUAUAUGGAGGAACACCAGUGGCGAAGGCGGCUCUCUGGUCUGUAACUGACGCUGAGGCUCGAAAGCGUGGGGAGCAAACAGG